This 312-nucleotide unclassified non-coding RNA is filed under the name plant metagenome. Its description in RNAcentral is "partial contains small subunit ribosomal RNA, internal transcribed spacer 1, and 5.8S ribosomal RNA". The record is from RNAcentral.
UUUCCGUAGGUGAACCUGCGGAAGGAUCAUUAGUGAAUAAACAAGUGCAGGUUGUGCUGGCCUUCUUGGUAUGUGCACGCCUGCCAAAGUCUCAUUCCAUCUUCCCACCUGUGCACUCUGUGUAGAUUCUGUAUGCUGUUGUCAAGCCUUUAUUGUGCCUGGUUGAGAGGAGUUGCUUGUUUUCACAAACAAGCUCUUCUUGGGCAUGCAGGUCUAUGUUUAUAUCAACACCAUAUGAAUGUUUUAGAAUGUGUAUCAGGCUUUUGGCCUUUAAAUUAUAUACAACUUUCAACAACGGAUCUCUUGGCUCUC